This 132-nucleotide small RNA is filed under the name Salmonella enterica subsp. enterica serovar Macclesfield str. S-1643. RNAcentral's name for it is "RtT sRNA". It matches the Rfam family "RtT RNA". From Rfam's summary of the family: This family represents a bacterial cis-regulatory element known as RtT RNA. The exact function of RtT is unknown although it is thought that it may be involved in changing the cellular response in relation to amino acid starvation. Lineage: Bacteria; Pseudomonadati; Pseudomonadota; Gammaproteobacteria; Enterobacterales; Enterobacteriaceae. The record is from RNAcentral. RNAcentral also lists the same sequence under 1 other name.
AUUCUACCCAUGUGGGGAAGGAUGAGAAGCUUCGACUAAGGUUCGAUUCGAGCGAAAGCGAGAAAGCGUUGCCGCAGGCAACGACCCGAAGGGCGAAGCGCGCAGCGCUGAGUCAUCCUUCCCCCUCAUCCU